CCUACGGGUGGCAGCAGUGAGGAAUAUUGGUCAAUGGACGAGAGUCUGAACCAGCCAAGUAGCGUGAAGGAUGACUGCCCGAUGGGUUGUAAACUUCUUUUAUAAAGGAAUAAAACGAGGCACGUGUGCCCUUUUGCAUGUACUUUAUGAAUAAGGAUCGGCUAACUCCGUGCCAGCAGCCGCGGUAAUACGGAGGAACCGAGCGUUAUCCGGAUUUAUUGGGUUUAAAGGGAGCGUAGAUGGGUUUUUAAGUCAGUUGUGAAAGUUUGCGGCUCAACCGUAAAAUUGCUAUUGAUACUGGCAGUCUUGAGUACAGUUGAGGUAGGCGGAAUUCGUGGUGUAGCGGUGAAAUGCUUAGCUAUCACGCAGAACCCCGAUUGCGAAGGCAGCUUACUAAACUGUGACUGACAUUGAUGCUCGAAAGUGUGGGUAUCAAACAGGAUUAGAUACCCCAGUAGUC
RNAcentral lists this ribosomal RNA (460 nucleotides) under uncultured bacterium. RNAcentral describes it as "partial 16S ribosomal RNA". It matches the Rfam family "Bacterial small subunit ribosomal RNA", at positions 338 to 795 of the family's 1533-position model. The record is from RNAcentral.